RNAcentral lists this long non-coding RNA (1129 nucleotides) under Homo sapiens (human). RNAcentral describes it as "HSALNT0389187". The record is from RNAcentral. Lineage: Eukaryota; Metazoa; Chordata; Mammalia; Primates; Hominidae.
AGACCAGGGCCCUCCACCUGCCAGGCUCCUCGCCGCCCCGCUACCUGCAUGGUGGGGUCCGCGCUGCGGUUGCUGCAGCCCCCCCUUUGGCGGGUGCCAUUGUAGCCGAGGUCGGCGCUGAAGCGGUGCCACAGAUACUGCGUGGUGAGCGGGCCCUGCAGGACCAAGGCAAAGUUGGCCAGGAAGACCAGCGGCUCUACCGGGCCCCGGCACAGCACGGCAGCCGCAGGGCGGGCGCGGGGCUUUUCCGGGGGGCUCGCGCUCCCCUCCAUGUGCGUGCGCGGCGGAGCUGUCGCCAGGCGGGCGGCGGGGCGCGCGAGCGACUCGCUGCCUGGGACCAGCGACGCGUGGCGUGGGGCUUGCGCUGUCUGCGCCUGCGCCCGGCGUCCCUCCUUAAAUGUCCGGCGGGGAGGGGCCUGUGACCUGAGGCCACCGGACUCUCGCCGCGGGUGCACCUGGCUGGGCGUGGGCCAGCGAGGGGCCCGGCACCCCCAGCCCGCGGGAUGACCUCACCUGUAAAGUGCUAGCCAAUAUUAACCAUCGCUAUCUACCGCUGAGGAAACGAGGUCAUCGGGUACUCAAGGCAGAGCUGGAAGAGCACAUGACUCCUGAUGCUGCUGAUGUUCUGCGCUGUAACAGAGAGGCAGCUGGAGAGGAUCGGAGUGGGCUGAGCCCAGCUGCCUGGGUUGGAGCACCUAGGCUCUGCCACUACCUUCGGCAUGCCACUUACCACCCUGAGCCUCUGUUUUUUCAUCUGUAAAAUGGAGUUGCUAACAAAACAUGUCUCAAAAAGUUGUGGAAAAGCAGUGUCUGGUAUAUUCAAAGUGCUAUUAUUGCUAUUAACAGGCUGUCACGUCUGGGAGUGGUGGCUCACACCUGUAAUCCCAGCACUUUUGGAGGCUGAGGCGCAUGGAUCGCUUGAACCCAGGAGUUCGAGACCAAUCUGGGCAACAUGGUAAAACCCUGUCUCUACAAAAAAUACACAAAAAUUAGCCAGGCGUAGUAGCAGAUACCUGUAGUCCCAGGUACUCGGGUGGCUGAGGUGGGAGGAUCAAUUGAGCCCAGGAGGCAGAGGUUGCAGUGGGCUGAGAUCGCACCACUGCACUCCAGCCUGGGUGACAGAGCAAGA